Molecule: transfer RNA, 73 nt
Filed under: Lithobates pipiens (northern leopard frog)
Lineage: Eukaryota; Metazoa; Chordata; Amphibia; Anura; Ranidae
Description: tRNA-Ile
Rfam family: tRNA
About the family: Transfer RNA (tRNA) molecules are approximately 80 nucleotides in length. Their secondary structure includes four short double-helical elements and three loops (D, anti-codon, and T loops).
Source: RNAcentral
GGAAGUGUGCCCGAAAGUUACGGAUCUCCUUGAUAGGGAGACCUAUAGGGGUUCAAACCCCCUCACUUCCUUU